This 575-nucleotide ribosomal RNA is filed under the name Vreelandella aquamarina. Its description in RNAcentral is "bacterial SSU rRNA". It matches the Rfam family "Bacterial small subunit ribosomal RNA", at positions 83 to 660 of the family's 1533-position model. Lineage: Bacteria; Pseudomonadati; Pseudomonadota; Gammaproteobacteria; Oceanospirillales; Halomonadaceae. The record is from RNAcentral.
GGAUGCUGACGAGCGGCGGACGGGUGAGUAAUGCAUAGGAAUCUGCCCGAUAGUGGGGGAUAACCUGGGGAAACCCAGGCUAAUACCGCAUACGUCCUACGGGAGAAAGGGGGCUCCGGCUCCCGCUAUGGGAUGAGCCUAUGUCGGAUUAGCUAGUUGGUGAGGUAACGGCUCACCAAGGCCACGAUCCGUAGCUGGUCUGAGAGGAUGAUCAGCCACAUCGGGACUGAGACACGGCCCGAACUCCUACGGGAGGCAGCAGUGGGGAAUAUUGGACAAUGGGGGAAACCCUGAUCCAGCCAUGCCGCGUGUGUGAAGAAGGCCCUCGGGUUGUAAAGCACUUUCAGCGAGGAAGAACGCCUAGCGGUUAAUACCCGCUAGGAAAGACAUCACUCGCAGAAGAAGCACCGGCUAACUCCGUGCCAGCAGCCGCGGUAAUACGGAGGGUGCAAGCGUUAAUCGGAAUUACUGGGCGUAAAGCGCGCGUAGGUGGCUUGAUAAGCCGGUUGUGAAAGCCCCGGGCUCAACCUGGGAACGGCAUCCGGAACUGUCAAGCUAGAGUGCAGGAGAGGAAG